AUUGAACGCUGGCGGCAUGCCUUACACAUGCAAGUCGAACGGCAGCACGGGAGGCAAUCCUGGUGGCGAGUGGCGAACGGGUGAGUAAUAUAUCGGAACGUGCCCAGUAGUGGGGGAUAGCCCGGCGAAAGCCGGAUUAAUACCGCAUACGACCUGAGGGUGAAAGCGGGGGAUCGCAAGACCUCGCGCUAUUGGAGCGGCCGAUAUCAGAUUAGCUAGUUGGUGGGGUAAAGGCCUACCAAGGCUACGAUCUGUAGUUGGUCUGAGAGGACGACCAGCCACACUGGGACUGAGACACGGCCCAGACUCCUACGGGAGGCAGCAGUGGGGAAUUUUGGACAAUGGGCGCAAGCCUGAUCCAGCAAUGCCGCGUGCAGGAAGAAGGCCUUCGGGUUGUAAACUGCUUUUGUCAGGGAAGAAAUCUUCUGGGCUAAUACCCCGGGAGGAUGACGGUACCUGAAGAAUAAGCACCGGCUAACUACGUG
Molecule: ribosomal RNA, 485 nt
Filed under: uncultured bacterium
Lineage: Bacteria
Description: bacterial SSU rRNA
Rfam family: Bacterial small subunit ribosomal RNA
Source: RNAcentral